GAUGAACGCUGGCGGCGUGCCUCAAACAUGCAAGUCGAGCGAGGCUAUGAAUUACCGCAAGGUAAGGCAUAGCCUAGCGGCGAACGGGUGAGUAACACGUGGGUAACCUACCUGGAAGACAGGGAUAACGAUUCGAAAGGGUCGCUAAUACCUGAUAAUAUCCGUCUGCCGGAUGGCGGAGGGAAGAAAGGGGAAACCCGCUUUCAGAUGGGCCCGCGUCCCAUCAGCUAGUUGGUAAGGUAAAGGCUUACCAAGGCGACGACGGGUAGCCGGUCUGAGAGGAUGUACGGCCACACUGGGACUGAGAUACGGCCCAGACUCCUACGGGAGGCAGCAGUUGGGAAUCUUAGGCAAUGGACGAAAGUCUGACCUAGCGACGCCGCGUGAGGGGAAGAAGGCCUUCGGGUUGUAACGUACUUUCAGCAGGGAAGGAAGCGAAAGUGACGGUACCGUGCAGAAGAAGCACCGGCUAACUACGUG
This 480-nucleotide ribosomal RNA is filed under the name uncultured bacterium. RNAcentral's name for it is "bacterial SSU rRNA". It matches the Rfam family "Bacterial small subunit ribosomal RNA", at positions 28 to 507 of the family's 1533-position model. The record is from RNAcentral.